CAAAUUAAACCAAACUUGACCACAAUCAUCAUUGGGGUAUCUUGUUAAAAAAUUGUGUCCGGUGACCUGGCCAACCAACCAAGAUGGCCGCCAUGGCUAAAAAUAGAACAUAGGGGUAAAAUGCAGUUUUUGGCUUAUUACUCAAAAACCAAAGCAUUUAGAGCAGAUCUGACCUGGUAAAAUUGUUUAUCAGGUUAAGAUCUAUCUGCCCUGAAAUUUUGAGAUGAAUUGGACAACCUGUUGAUAGGUUGCUGCCCCUGAAUUGGUAAUUUUAAGGACAUUUUGCUGUUUUUGGUUAUUAUCUUGAAUAUUAUUAUAGAUAGAGAUAAACUGUAAACAGCAAAAAUGUUCAGCAAAGUAAGAUCUACAAAUAAGUCAACAAAACCAAAAUGGUCUGUUGAUUUCUUUAGGAGUUAUUGCCCUUUAUAGUCAAUUUUUAACCAUUUUUCGUAAAUCUUAGUUAUCUUUUACAAAAAUCCUCUCCUCUGAAACUACUGGGCCUUAAACCAAACUUGGCCACAAUUAUCAUUGGGGUAUCUAGUUUAAAAAUUGUGUCCCGUGACCUGGCCAACCUACCAAGAUGGCCGCCAUGGCU
RNAcentral lists this long non-coding RNA (595 nucleotides) under Mytilus galloprovincialis (Mediterranean mussel). The record is from RNAcentral. Lineage: Eukaryota; Metazoa; Mollusca; Bivalvia; Mytilida; Mytilidae.